UCCGCGCUCUGCGGCCUACGUCAACAAGCGGAGAGACGUCGGAUGCCACGCGCGCGCGCUCGAGGCCGCGUGACGCCGACCUUGUCCUCUGAGCGCGGGUGCUCGGGCCUAUUGGGGCCGUUACUGUCACAGAAGUCGGGAAGAAAACCAACCUGGACUCCCGCAUAAGUUUCACUGGUGGAGCCAAACAAUGAACAAUCAUGAAAACAGCAAGAAGUAAUAUCCACCCACAAACGCAUGGGCUAAUUGGAAGAAGGAAAAAAAAAACAGCUUCGUUCCUCUCAUUAAGCAAUGCAUUUUCAAUAAACGCUUGUUUUUC
This is a long non-coding RNA of Zalophus californianus (California sea lion), 319 nucleotides long. RefSeq lists it as uncharacterized. The transcript has 3 exons. NCBI's taxonomy places the organism in Eukaryota, Metazoa, Chordata, Mammalia, Carnivora, Otariidae. The record is from RefSeq and is a predicted model, not a curated record.